Molecule: unclassified non-coding RNA, 404 nt
Filed under: Hevea brasiliensis (rubber tree)
Lineage: Eukaryota; Viridiplantae; Streptophyta; Magnoliopsida; Malpighiales; Euphorbiaceae
Source: RNAcentral
UGGCAUUUUCAAGGAUUGCUAGGAAUGGCUUGAGAAGAGCAGGAGGCACCUUUGGUAGUUACGCAGAGAAAGGUACAGCAUGUGAGGGAGUAUCCAAUCAUAAAUGGUCUUCACCUUUCCUUAAAAAUGUUGCAGCAGGCAACAACCUAUCGUACAUUUCCAGCAUCAGGAAGGCAAAUCAUGCCAGUUUUUGGAGCAGGGGAAUCAGGGGAACCGCACAUUAUCAAUUUCCUAAUGCAGAGAGGAUUCUAGAUGAGUCUGAAAAUGAGAAUGACGAACCAAGUUAUCCGGGUCUAGGAGCAACUAAGCCUGGUGAAAUGCCAAGGGUGGUCGUCCUUGGCACUGGAUGGGCAGCAUGUCGGUUCAUGAAAGGACUUGACACCAAAAGCUAUGAUGUUGUUUGC